AUGCACUUGGAAAGCUGCAUGUAGCUUCUGAAGCUGAUAAGAUCAGUGAGUGAGUGAGUUUACAGUUGCAGGUCAUGGGCUAGGCUAAGCUAACAACAAAGGAAAGAUGUUUGCAAAACCCUUUUCAAACACACCAACGCGCCGCCUUUCCUGACCUCUCACUGUCUAAAGAAACCCUAACAAAGGCACUAGGCAUGCAAGAUCGAUCAUGGAUUUGAUCUGUCGCUGCUACAACUGGUCUAAAAGUGCUUAUCCGGCCGCCCGGCGCGCGCUUUGCGGCGAUGGAUGGAUGGAUCAUCGUCCUGAGCAAUUAAGAAUCUAUCUCCACGAAAAUGAGGAAAAUAUUACACUAUCUGCUAGCAUUACAUUGCCUAGUGAUGAGGAGGAGGAAUCGAUGAAGUAACUAGCUAGCGAGUAACAUUGAUCCGUACCAGGGCAUGGUGCGUGCAUAGCAUGGAAGGGCGAUUGGUGGAAUGGA
This 478-nucleotide long non-coding RNA is filed under the name Triticum aestivum (bread wheat). RNAcentral describes it as "long non-coding RNA (TAES_LNC001187)". The record is from RNAcentral. Lineage: Eukaryota; Viridiplantae; Streptophyta; Magnoliopsida; Poales; Poaceae.